Molecule: ribosomal RNA, 1346 nt
Filed under: uncultured bacterium
Lineage: Bacteria
Description: bacterial SSU rRNA
Rfam family: Bacterial small subunit ribosomal RNA
Source: RNAcentral
GACGAACGCUGGCGGCGUGCUUAACACAUGCAAGUCGAACGGAAAGGCCCUGCUUUUGUGGGGUGCUCGAGUGGCGAACGGGUGAGUAACACGUGAGUAACCUGCCCUUGACUUUGGGAUAACUUCAGGAAACUGGGGCUAAUACCGGAUAGGAGCUCCUGCUGCAUGGUGGGGGUUGGAAAGUUUCGGCGGUUGGGGAUGGACUCGCGGCUUAUCAGCUUGUUGGUGGGGUAGUGGCUUACCAAGGCUUUGACGGGUAGCCGGCCUGAGAGGGUGACCGGCCACAUUGGGACUGAGAUACGGCCCAGACUCCUACGGGAGGCAGCAGUGGGGAAUAUUGCACAAUGGGCGGAAGCCUGAUGCAGCAACGCCGCGUGCGGGAUGACGGCCUUCGGGUUGUAAACCGCUUCCGCCUGUGACGAAGCGUGAGUGACGGUAAUGGGUAAAGAAGCACCGGCUAACUACGUGUCAGCAGCCGCGGUGAUACGUAGGGUGCGAGCGUUGUCCGGAUUUAUUGGGCGUAAAGGGCUCGUAGGUGGUUGAUCGCGUCGGAAGUGUAAUCUUGGGGCUUAACCCUGAGCGUGCUUUCGAUACGGGUUGACUUGAGGAAGGUAGGGGAGAAUGGAAUUCCUGGUGGAGCGGUGGAAUGCGCAGAUAUCAGGAGGAACACCAGUGGCGAAGGCGGUUCUCUGGGCCUUUCCUGACGCUGAGGAGCGAAAGCGUGGGGAGCGAACAGGCUUAGAUACCCUGGUAGUCCACGCUGUAAACGGUGGGUACUAGGUGUGGGGUCCAUUCCACGGGUUCCGUGCCGUAGCUAACGCUUUAAGUACCCCGCCUGGGGAGUACGGCCGCAAGGCUAAAACUCAAAGGAAUUGACGGGGCCCCGCACAAGCGGCGGAGCAUGCGGAUUAAUUCGAUGCAACGCGUAGAACCUUACCUGGGUUUGACAUGGAUCGGGAGCGCUCAGAGAUGGGUGUGCCUCUUUUGGGGUCGGUUCACAGGUGGUGCAUGGCUGUCGUCAGCUCGUGUCGUGAGAUGUUGGGUUAAGUCCCGCAACGAGCGCAACCCUUGUUCACUGUUGCCAGCACGUUAUGGUGGGGACUCAGUGGAGACCGCCGGGGUCAACUCGGAGGAAGGUGGGGAUGACGUCAAGUCAUCAUGCCCCUUAUGUCCAGGGCUUCACGCAUGCUACAAUGGCUGGUACAGAGAGUGGCGAGCCUGUGAGGGUGAGCGAAUCUUGGAAAGCCGGUCUCAGUUCGGAUUGGGGUCUGCAACUCGACCUCAUGAAGUCGGAGUCGCUAGUAAUCGCAGAUCAGCAACGCUGCGGUGAAUACGUUCCCGGGGCU